AAAUUGAAGAGUUUGAUCAUGGCUCAGAUUGAACGCUGGCGGCAGGCCUAACACAUGCAAGUCGAACGGUAACAGGAAUCAGCUUGCUGAUUUGCUGACGAGUGGCGGACGGGUGAGUAAUGUCUGGGAA
This 130-nucleotide ribosomal RNA is filed under the name Escherichia coli. Its description in RNAcentral is "partial 16S ribosomal RNA". It matches the Rfam family "Bacterial small subunit ribosomal RNA", at positions 1 to 123 of the family's 1533-position model. The record is from RNAcentral. Lineage: Bacteria; Pseudomonadati; Pseudomonadota; Gammaproteobacteria; Enterobacterales; Enterobacteriaceae.